UAUACAUAUGAAUUUUGAUUUAGUCAUUACUAACUUAUAAAAUUUUAUUGGUAAAAAGAAUGAUAUAAUAUGCUCUUAAUGUAAUUGGAAAUUUCUGGGUAUCUUUCAUUAAAAUAUACAAAUUAUGAAUUAUGUUGUUUUUGACAGUCAUUAUUCUUUCAUUAAUGUUUUAAAUGCUAAUGAAACCAAGAAAUUUAAUAUUGUACUAUUUAUGUUUUAAAUAGCACAAUAUAAAAAAAUCUUAGUGGUCAAAAGCUGUUGUAAAUUGAGAAACCUGAAAGUACCAGAGUCAUUUGAAAAAUUUUAUUUUUAUUUUUUAUAGUUCAAGUACUGAAUGAAUAUUAAAUGAUACGUAUUGAGUUUCAACUAAAAAUCCAAGUAACUACACUUUUGACCAAGACCAGAUUUUAUAGUCUUUAGUAAUCUGAAUCCGUUUUUAACUGAGAAAAAUGUUGAUCUCACUACCUGAGUUUGAUACAAGAUACAAAAUAAACUGUAAAGUAAUGAAGUAUUUGCAUGAGUAUAGGGCUUUCUGAACAUAUUUUAAGCACUUCUACCUAAAACAUAAAAAUUAAAACCAACGAAUUACUUUGUAUUCGUGUGUUGUUUUAAAGUUAUUUUAAGACACAGUACACAUGAGUUGUGACGGGCUUUGAUAAAUGUGGCUGGGUCUGACCAGGAACUCGCACCCACUUAAGUUGCUGCUCCUGCCAAAAGAUUUGGAAACAAUGUUGGAAUACAAAAGUGAAAUUGAAGAUGUAUGUUAGAAAAACCAGGUAUUCGAAAAUUCUGAGGUUUUGAUUUUGACAGACGUUUCCUUCAGAGAUCUUUCUUUCAUAUUGCUACCAAGCACUGUACUCAUAACUACAUAAACUGGCACACGGCAUCACAUCUUCAUUACUGUACGUGCUAUAACUCAAAACCCAAAGAUUGAAAACAUUUAACAACCACAUGAAUACUCUCAGUACUUUUGGAGGAAUAAAAACUGGAGAGAUUGUGGCCAGGGAUAUAGGCGUGAAGAACAAGCACCGUAUGUUACAUCAACAUUGAAUUUUAUAAAAUGCCCACAUGCACCCUUCACGUGAAGAAAUGGGGACGAUCAAGACUACACUGAGAAGAAUAGUGCUGUUUAUGCCCUGUAUCAG
RNAcentral lists this long non-coding RNA (1145 nucleotides) under Physcomitrium patens. RNAcentral's name for it is "long non-coding RNA (PPAT_LNC004292)". The record is from RNAcentral. Lineage: Eukaryota; Viridiplantae; Streptophyta; Bryopsida; Funariales; Funariaceae.